RNAcentral lists this ribosomal RNA (530 nucleotides) under Fiorinia ficicola. RNAcentral's name for it is "partial 28S ribosomal RNA". Lineage: Eukaryota; Metazoa; Arthropoda; Insecta; Hemiptera; Diaspididae. The record is from RNAcentral.
AUCUGGGCGGCGGAAUUCAGGAUGACCGGCGGGCUUUGCGCUAGUCCGGUCGUUUGAUGUUUCCGUCGCCGUAUGGACGUCGCGACCUGUUUGUCGUCGGUCCUUGCUCGGAGGAACCGCAAUCGAGUUCAUUGCAUGGUGCGUUUCGGCGUGCCGAGCGGUGAAGAUGCGGCUCUCUGGCUGACGGUGGACAGUAAGCAACGGUGUCCGGCGUGGUGUCUCGCACUCUACGCCGACGCCGGUCUGCGACGAUUUCUUCGGGCCUCUUUCCGACCCGUCUUGAAACACGGACCAAGGAGUCUAACAUGCGCGCGAGUCGCGGGGUUUCGAGCGUACCAUGGUGCGCUCGUUACAUGCGAAACCCGUACGUUGAAGGCGUAAUGAAAGUGAACAGGGAAGAUGGCGUUCCGAGUCCACGUACCGUGAUCGAGUGUCGCGGCCGGACGUCCGCACUCCCGGGGCGUCUCAAUGGCUCGUCGCGGAUGCGGAUGGUCGUCUCUCGGGGCGGCCAUCGGUCUGCGAUGGACCGA